GAUUCUACAUGGAUGAUAUGUUCUCCCUUUGUGGGUUGUUUCCCGACGGAGUUAUUUGGAUUUGCUUUCGUAGCAGUUUUCGCCUGAGCAGUGAACUCUUGUUUUCCAGUUGAUACUGAGAAUCCCCCUGCAAAUGUUUUGGGAUUUCUCCCUUUCCCCAACAGAUUUGUCUUUGUGGCUGUUUAUGCCUGUUGUGACCUUUUGUUACCCAGUUGGGUUGAUUGUUGAUCCAUCACUCAGAGAUUUUGUGACCUCGUGAUAUCUCGG
Molecule: long non-coding RNA, 267 nt
Filed under: Lathyrus oleraceus (garden pea)
Lineage: Eukaryota; Viridiplantae; Streptophyta; Magnoliopsida; Fabales; Fabaceae
Description: Pisum sativum (pea) long non-coding RNA (PSAT_LNC021273)
Source: RNAcentral